RNAcentral lists this ribosomal RNA (1451 nucleotides) under uncultured organism. Its description in RNAcentral is "SSU rRNA". It matches the Rfam family "Bacterial small subunit ribosomal RNA". The record is from RNAcentral.
CUACAGGCUUAACACAUGCAAGUCGAGGGGCAUCAGGAAGAAAGCUUGCUUUCUUUGCUGGCGACCGGCGCACGGGUGAGUAACACGUAUCCAACCUGCCCUUUACUCGGGGAUAGCCUUUCGAAAGAAAGAUUAAUACCCGAUAGCAUAAUGAUUCCGCAUGGUUUCAUUAUUAAAGGAUUCCGGUAAAGGAUGGGGAUGCGUUCCAUUAGGUUGUUGGUGAGGUAACGGCCCACCAAGCCUUCGAUGGAUAGGGGUUCUGAGAGGAAGGUCCCCCACAUUGGAACUGAGACACGGUCCAAACUCCUACGGGAGGCAGCAGUGAGGAAUAUUGGUCAAUGGGCGCUAGCCUGAACCAGCCAAGUAGCGUGAAGGAUGAAGGCUCUAUGGGUCGUAAACUUCUUUUAUAUAAGAAUAAAGUGCAGUAUGUAUACUGUUUUGUAUGUAUUAUAUGAAUAAGGAUCGGCUAACUCCGUGCCAGCAGCCGCGGUAAUACGGAGGAUCCGAGCGUUAUCCGGAUUUAUUGGGUUUAAAGGGAGCGUAGGUGGACUGGUAAGUCAGUUGUGAAAGUUUGCGGCUCAACCGUAAAAUUGCAGUUGAUACUGUCAGUCUUGAGUACAGUAGAGGUGGGCGGAAUUCGUGGUGUAGCGGUGAAAUGCUUAGAUAUCACGAAGAACUCCGAUUGCGAAGGCAGCUCACUGGACUGCAACUGACACUGAUGCUCGAAAGUGUGGGUAUCAAACAGGAUUAGAUACCCUGGUAGUCCACACAGUAAACGAUGAAUACUCGCUGUUUGCGAUAUACAGUAAGCGGCCAAGCGAAAGCAUUAAGUAUUCCACCUGGGGAGUACGCCGGCAACGGUGAAACUCAAAGGAAUUGACGGGGGCCCGCACAAGCGGAGGAACAUGUGGUUUAAUUCGAUGAUACGCGAGGAACCUUACCCGGGCUUAAAUUGCAGUGGAAUGAUGUGGAAACAUGUCAGUGAGCAAUCACCGCUGUGAAGGUGCUGCAUGGUUGUCGUCAGCUCGUGCCGUGAGGUGUCGGCUUAAGUGCCAUAACGAGCGCAACCCUUAUCUUUAGUUACUAACAGGUUAUGCUGAGGACUCUGGAGAGACUGCCGUCGUAAGAUGUGAGGAAGGUGGGGAUGACGUCAAAUCAGCACGGCCCUUACGUCCGGGGCUACACACGUGUUACAAUGGGGGGUACAGAAGGCAGCUAGCGGGUGACCGUAUGCUAAUCCCAAAAGCCUCUCUCAGUUCGGAUCGAAGUCUGCAACCCGACUUCGUGAAGCUGGAUUCGCUAGUAAUCGCGCAUCAGCCACGGCGCGGUGAAUACGUUCCCGGGCCUUGUACACACCGCCCGUCAAGCCAUGGGAGCCGGGGGUACCUGAAGUACGUAACCGCAAGGAUCGUCCUAGGGUAAAACUGGUGACUGGGGCUAAGUCAUAACAA